UGGGGAAUUUUGGACAAUGGGGGAAACCCUGAUCCAGCCAUCCCGCGUGUGCGAUGAAGGCCUUCGGGUUGUAAAGCACUUUUGGCAGGAAAGAAACGUCGCGGGUUAAUACCCCGCGAAACUGACGGUACCUGCAGAAUAAGCACCGGCUAACUACGUGCCAGCAGCCGCGGUAAUACGUAGGGUGCAAGCGUUAAUCGGAGUUACUGGGCGUAAAGCGUGCGCAGGCGGUUCGGAAAGAAAGAUGUGAAAUCCCAGAGCUUAACUUUGGAACUGCAUUUUUAACUACCGGGCUAGAGUGUGUCAGAGGGAGGUGGAAUUCCGCGUGUAGCAGUGAAGUGCGUAGAUAUGCGGAGGAACACCGAUGGCGAAGGCAGCCUCCUGGGAUAACACUGACGCUCAUGCACGAAAGCGUGGGGAGCAAACAGGAUUAGAUACCCUGGUAGUCCACGCCCUAAACGAUGUCAACUAGCUGUUGGGGGCCUUCGGGCCUUGGUAGCGCAGCUAACGCGUGAAGUUGACCGCCUGGGGAGUACGGUCGCAAGAUUAAAACUCAAAUGAAUUGACGGGGGUCAUAGCUGUUUUCCU
Molecule: ribosomal RNA, 588 nt
Filed under: uncultured bacterium
Lineage: Bacteria
Description: partial 16S ribosomal RNA
Rfam family: Bacterial small subunit ribosomal RNA
Source: RNAcentral